Molecule: small RNA, 127 nt
Filed under: Marmota monax (woodchuck)
Lineage: Eukaryota; Metazoa; Chordata; Mammalia; Rodentia; Sciuridae
Source: RNAcentral
GCCAGGCACAGUGGCGCAUGCCUGUAAUCCCAGCAACUUGGGAGUUUGAGGCAGGAGGAUUGCAAAUUCAGGGCCAGCCUCAGCAAUUUUGCAAGGCUGUCAGCAACUUUGUGAGAUCCUGUCUCUA